This 441-nucleotide ribosomal RNA is filed under the name uncultured bacterium. Its description in RNAcentral is "partial 16S ribosomal RNA". It matches the Rfam family "Bacterial small subunit ribosomal RNA", at positions 338 to 795 of the family's 1533-position model. The record is from RNAcentral.
CCUACGGGAGACAGCAGUGGGGGAUAUUGCACAAUGGGGGGAACCCUGAUGCAGCGACGCCGCGUGGGUGAAGGAGUGCUUCGGCAUGUAAAGCCCUAUCGGCAGGGAAGAAGCAAGACGGUACCUGACUAAGAAGCCCCGGCUAACUACGUGCCAGCAGCCGCGGUAAUACGUAGGGGGCGAGCGUUAUCCGGAUUCACUGGGGGGAACGGGAGCGUAGACAGCCAUGCAAGCCAGGGGUGAAAGCCCGGGGCCCAACCCCGGGACUGCCCUUGGAACUGCAUGGCUAGAGUGCAGGAGGGGCAGGCGGAAUGCCUGGUGUAGCGGUGAAAUGCGUAGAGAUCAGGAGGAACACCGGCGGCGAAGGCGGCCUGCUGGACCGCGACUGACGUUGAGGCUCGAAAGCGUGGGGAGCGAACAGGAUUAGAUACCCUAGUAGUC